GACGAACGCUGGCGGCGUGCCUAAUACAUGCAAGUCGAGCGGAUUGAUGGGAGCUUGCUCCCUGAUAUCAGCGGCGGACGGGUGAGUAACACGUGGGUAACCUGCCUGUAAGAUCGGGAUAACUCCGGGAAACCGGAGCUAAUACCGGAUAAUUCACAUCUACUCAUGUAGAUGUGCUGAAAGACGGUUUACGCUGUCACUUAUAGAUGGGCCCGCGGCGCAUUAGCUAGUUGGUGAGGUAACGGCUCACCAAGGCCACGAUGCGUAGCCGACCUGAGAGGGUGAUCGGCCACACUGGGACUGAGACACGGCCCAGACUCCUACGGGUGGCAG
Molecule: ribosomal RNA, 333 nt
Filed under: uncultured Bacillota bacterium
Lineage: Bacteria; Bacillati; Bacillota
Description: bacterial SSU rRNA
Rfam family: Bacterial small subunit ribosomal RNA
Source: RNAcentral